Molecule: ribosomal RNA, 675 nt
Filed under: uncultured bacterium
Lineage: Bacteria
Description: bacterial SSU rRNA
Rfam family: Bacterial small subunit ribosomal RNA
Source: RNAcentral
AGCGGCGAACGGGUGAGUAACACGUGGGUAUCUGCCCUGCACUCUGGGAUAAGCUUGGGAAACUGGGUCUAAUACCGGAUAUGGCCGCAUGGUGAAAGAUUUAUCGGUGCAGGAUGGGCCCGCGGCCUAUCAGCUUGUUGGUGGGGUAAUGGCCUACCAAGGCGACGACGGGUAGCCGACCUGAGAGGGUGACCGGCCACACUGGGACUGAGACACGGCCCAGACUCCUACGGGAGGCAGCAGUGGGGAAUAUUGCACAAUGGGCGGAAGCCUGAUGCAGCGACGCCGCGUGAGGGAUGAAGGCCUUCGGGUUGUAAACCUCUUUCAGCAGGGACGAAGCGUGAGUGACGGUACCUGCAGAAGAAGCACCGGCUAACUACGUGCCAGCAGCCGCGGUAAUACGUAGGGUGCGAGCGUUGUCCGGAAUUACUGGGCGUAAAGAGUUCGUAGGCGGUUUGUCGCGUCGUUUGUGAAAACCCGGGGCUCAACUUCGGGCUUGCAGGCGAUACGGGCAGACUUGAGUGUUUCAGGGAGACUGGAAUUCCUGGUGUAGCGGUGAAUGCGCAGAUAUCACGAGGAACACCGGUGGCGACGCGGGUCUCUGGGAAACAACUGACGCUGAGAACGGAAGCGUGGUUAGCCAACCAGAUUAGAUACCUGGGUAGUCCACGCCGU